Small nucleolar RNA from Arvicanthis niloticus (Nile rat), 126 nucleotides. RefSeq annotates it as small nucleolar RNA SNORA17. NCBI's taxonomy places the organism in Eukaryota, Metazoa, Chordata, Mammalia, Rodentia, Muridae. The record is from RefSeq and is a predicted model, not a curated record.
AUUGCCCCUAAUGGCAAUGCAAUUAUGGCUGCUGUAUGUGUGUCAGUAGGUAGCAGAGAAGAGAGAGAGAAUAUGUUACACUGUGUUCUGACUUGUGAACAUCUGAAUUAUUAGUAGCCUAACAUU